CAAGAGCGUAUAUUAAAGUUGUUGCAGUUAAAAGCUCGUAGUUGGAUUUCUGGUACAACGCGCCUGGCCCGCUUUAUGUGAGUGCCGGUGCGCGUUUGCCAUCCUUCUAGAAAACGUUUCUACCUGGGCAACCGGGCCGGACUCGCGAUCUAGAUCUUUUACUUUGAAAAAUUAGAGUGUUUAAAGCAGGCUUUUGCUGUGAAUACAUUAGCAUGGAAUAAUAAUCUAGGACUUCGGUUCUAUUUUGUUGGUUUCCGGUAACUUGAGGUAAUGAUUAAGAGGGACAGACGGGGGCGAUUCGUAUUACGGUGUUAGAGGUGAAAUUCUUGGAUCGCCGUAAGACGAACUACUGCGAAAGCAUUUGCCAAGAAUGUUUUCAUUAAUCAAGAACGAAAGUCAGAGGUUCGAAGACGAUCAGAUACCGU
Molecule: ribosomal RNA, 425 nt
Filed under: uncultured eukaryote
Lineage: Eukaryota
Description: bacterial SSU rRNA
Rfam family: Eukaryotic small subunit ribosomal RNA
Source: RNAcentral